CUUUUUCUUUCUUUCUUUUUUUUUUUUUUUAAGAAGCAACUGACUGCUUAAGAGAAACUGGGUCUUUCAUGUUACAAGAUGGCAAAAAGCCGGCCUGUGACUCAGAAAGGAUCUCUCCACAAAUGAUUAUAACCUCCACAUAAGUAAAGAACAAUGAACUGGAAGCUUAGGAGUUAAUUCUCUAAUAUACACUCUUUGUUCCAGAAAUACCCCCAAAGGGAUUCAAAAUUACUUUGAAGGGCUUGCAUCUCAUUUUCAAAUGAAUCCGUGUGACCUGUUUGGGCCAAUUUCAACCACACAGAACCCAUGGGGCCUGUUAGAAUCAUCUGGAGCAGAAAAAAAUUUUUUUUCCAACUCAGUUUCAAGUGAAAUUCAAUCUACAUUUAAAAAAGCACAAACAAGAUAUACAGGUUUUAUCCAUCACAGACCACAGGGCACAUCCAUAAAAGUAACCACAAUGGAGAAGGGACUUCAGAGCCCUCCUGGGUCUCCAAGAGAUGAAUGCUGCCAAGUCAUAAGUAACUUACCUAUCUUUCUUCUGACCUACAGGCAUGUUAGGGCGUAUGAGAGAUGUCAGGGAAUUCAGGUGUGUAC
RNAcentral lists this long non-coding RNA (594 nucleotides) under Rattus norvegicus (Norway rat). Its description in RNAcentral is "long non-coding RNA NONRATT012619". Lineage: Eukaryota; Metazoa; Chordata; Mammalia; Rodentia; Muridae. The record is from RNAcentral.